AUGGAAAACUUAAGAUAUCUUAAAAUCUAUAAUGCAUCUGACCGAAGCACAUGCAAUGUGUACUUACCCGAUGGUCUCGAGUGGAUUUCUGAUAAAUUGAGAGCUCACCUGACUCAUAGCAAGCUUACAAAACUAUGGGAUGGAGUUCAGAACCUUGUGAAUUUAAAGUUAAUUGUGCUUAGUUACUCCAAAGAUCUCAUUGAUAUCCCAGACUUAUCUAGGGCUACUAAUCUGGAAAGGAUUUACGAGUUUUCGGUGUCAUCGGAGGAAAUGAGAAAUUUGGACUUACACGGCACUGCUAUACAUGAAUUGUCUUCAUCGAUUUGGCGUAAUACCAAGCUUACUACUCUUGACCUAACUGAUUGUAACAAGCUUAACAUUGUUGGUAGUAUGUUAUCAAAUGAUCAUGGACUGGGGUCUGUUACAGAACUAGACCUUUCUGGGUGCACAGAAAUUGAUGCAUUAAAUCUGCAGUUCAUCCUUGAUGGCAUAAGGAAACUUGUGUCUGUAGCAGAGCUUCCGCCGUCCCUGCUAUAUUUGAAAGCCCU
Vicia faba (fava bean) is the source of this 548-nucleotide non-coding RNA. Lineage: Eukaryota; Viridiplantae; Streptophyta; Magnoliopsida; Fabales; Fabaceae. The record is from the annotation of a GenBank genome assembly.